This 426-nucleotide ribosomal RNA is filed under the name uncultured bacterium. RNAcentral's name for it is "bacterial SSU rRNA". It matches the Rfam family "Bacterial small subunit ribosomal RNA", at positions 917 to 1344 of the family's 1533-position model. The record is from RNAcentral.
GGACCCGCACAAGCGGUGGAGCAUGUGGUUUAAUUCGAUGCAACGCGAAAAACCUUACCUACUCUUGACAUACUUGGAAGCUCUUGUAAUGAGAGUGUGCCUUUUGGAACCAAGAUACAGGUGCUGCAUGGCUGUCGUCAGCUCGUGUCGUGAGAUGUUCCGUUAAGUCGGAUAACGAGCGCAACCCUUACCCUUAUUUGCCAGCGAUUCGGUCGGGAACUAUAAGGGGACUGCCGGUGAUAAACCGGAGGAAGGUGAGGACGACGUCAAGUCAUCAUGGCCCUUACGAGUAGGGCUACACACGUGCUACAAUGGGGAAUACAGACGGACGCUAAGCCGCGAGGUGGUGCUAAUCCUAGAAAGUUUCUCGUAGUCCGAAUUGCAGUCUGGAACUCGACUGCAUGAAGCCGGAAUCGCUAGUAAUCG